RNAcentral lists this ribosomal RNA (450 nucleotides) under uncultured bacterium. RNAcentral's name for it is "bacterial SSU rRNA". It matches the Rfam family "Bacterial small subunit ribosomal RNA", at positions 354 to 796 of the family's 1533-position model. The record is from RNAcentral.
GUAGGGAAUAUUGGACAAUGGGGGAAACCCUGAUCCAGCGAUGCCGCGUGGAUGAUGAAGGCCUUCGGGUCGUAAAGUCCUUUUCUGAGGGAAGAAUGGUUUGGCGAGGAAAUGCGCCGGAUUUGACGGUACCUCAGGAAUAAGCAACGGCUAACUCCGUGCCAGCAGCCGCGGUAAUACGGAGGUUGCAAGCGUUGUUCGGAAUAACUGGGCGUAAAGGGAGCGCAGGCGGCUUGAUAAGUCUAAAGUGAAAACCCAGGGCUCAACUCUGGACCUGCUUUGGAUACUGCCAAGCUUGAGUACGUGAGAGGAGAUUGGAAUUCCAGGUGUAGCGGUGAAAUGCGUAGAUAUCUGGAGGAACACCGGUGGCGAAAGCGGAUCUCUGGCACGUUACUGACGCUGAGGCUCGAAAGCGUGGGGAGCAAACGGGAUUAGAAACCCCAGUAGUCC